RNAcentral lists this ribosomal RNA (773 nucleotides) under uncultured bacterium. RNAcentral's name for it is "bacterial SSU rRNA". It matches the Rfam family "Bacterial small subunit ribosomal RNA", at positions 11 to 794 of the family's 1533-position model. The record is from RNAcentral.
GUUUGAUCCUGGCUCAGGACGAACGCUGGUGGCGGGCCUAACACAUGCAAGUCGAACGAGGCUUUCCGGUGCUUGCACUGGAAAAUCGAGUGGCGAACGGGUGAGUAAUACAUGAGAAACCUGCCUUGGAGACGGGGACAACCUCGGGAAACUGAGGCUAAUACCCGAUAUCCCUGCCGAGUCGCAUGACUUGGCAAGAAAAUACUCAGGUGCUCCAAGAGGGUCUCAUGCCCUAUCAGCUUGUUGGUGAGGUAAAAGCUCACCAAGGCUUAGACGGGUAGCUGGUCUGAGAGGACGAUCAGCCACACUGGGACUGAGACACGGCCCAGACUCCUACGGGAGGCAGCAGUGGGGAAUCUUGCGCAAUGGGCGAAAGCCUGACGCAGCCACGCCACGUGUGGGACGGCGGCCCUCGGGUUGUAAACCACUUUCAGCAGGGACGAAAAUGACGGUACCUGCAGAAGAAGCCCCGGCCAACUACGUGCCAGCAGCCGCGGUAACACGUAGGGGGCGAGCGUUGUCCGGAAUUACUGGGCGUAAAGGGCUCGUAGGCGGUUUGGUAAGUCAGAUGUGAAAACUCCAGGCUCAACUUGGAGACGCCAUCUGAUACUGCCAUGACUAGAGUUUGGUAGAGGAGUGCAGAAUUCCCGGUGUAGCGGUGAAAUGCGCAGAUAUCGGGAGGAAUACCAGUCAGCGAAGGCGGCACUCUGGGCCACAACUGACGCUGAGGAGCGAAAGCGUGGGGAGCGAACAGGAUUAGAUACCCUGGUAGU